AACCCGGAGAAUAAAACACGAGGAACCAGAAACCUGGAGAAUAAAACACGAGGAACAAGGAGGCCUGAUGAAAAUGAAAGAAGAAAGACGAGAUCUGAAAGAGGUGGAUGGGAAAUAUCAGGAUCAGAACGAUCAUGAUGUCGAAGAAAAAUCAGUGAGUUGCAGCAUUAAAAAAACAGAAGUCAACAGGCCUUUCAGCUGCUCUCAGUGUGGAAACACUUUCACAUGUAACAGAAAUCUUAAGAAUCACAUGUUAAUUCAUGCUGGAAUAAAGCCUUUCAGCUGCUCUCAGUGUGGAAAGAGUUUUAUACAGAAAAGACACCUU
Molecule: long non-coding RNA, 325 nt
Organism: Cyprinus carpio (common carp)
Lineage: Eukaryota; Metazoa; Chordata; Actinopteri; Cypriniformes; Cyprinidae
Exons: 2
Source: RefSeq, a predicted model, not a curated record